UUAUGCGGCUAUUUUUUCUAUGAUCUGUAAUCUAUGUUAAAUGGCAGCUCCAGCGGCGGCAUCGGGCGUGAAGGGCAUGCGAUGGUGAACACCCUCAAGUGCCCUCUGUUUAUACCAGGGAGACAAGCUGGAGCUCGAUGAGCUCGAAUUACAUGAUGAGAACAUGACGUAAUCUCUUCAUGAGGGAGAGAAUAACGUUCAAUUAGUAGCAACAAGACGCGGUUCAUCAAUUGUGGAAGACAAGUGUAUGUAGUAUGUACCCGCACCUGUAAUAUGUAUUGAUUAUUCAUUCGGCUUCAAUUGGUUUUUGUUUUGUUACAUGAACAAGAAAUUAAGACACUUGAGAGUUGAGAA
Molecule: long non-coding RNA, 354 nt
Organism: Lolium rigidum
Lineage: Eukaryota; Viridiplantae; Streptophyta; Magnoliopsida; Poales; Poaceae
Exons: 2
Source: RefSeq, a predicted model, not a curated record